GACGUACGAGCAGCGACGAGAGUCUUGGUGAAGGGUUCGUGUGGUGCGAAUUCUGUCGAGCACAAGGGUGCGAGUCCGCCGGAAUUCUUGUGCGAAAAGUGGGUCGAGUGCUGCGACAAGGGUCGUGGUGUUGAGGGUUUCGUGCGCGUGAGUGGUGUGGUCUUCGGUCGCCGGAAUUCUUUCGCCGGCGAUUUCUAACGGUAUAAUUUUGUACUUAACUUAGUAUGUCAGUUUAUUAAUUAUUCUUAUAUUUACUGUUUCGUAGUUAAGAAAGGUUUGUAAUUAUUAAUUAAUAAUUAGAGUUGUGUAAUAAAUUAUUAGUUAAGUUAUUGUUCUGUUUUAAGUGAAAAUUUCUGGUUAGGUUUGUAAUUGGAAUAAGUUGGAAGUAGGAAAAUUGUGUAUUAUUAUUAGUUACAUUAUUAUCGUUUCAUGAGUAACCUGUUUCAUGAAAUCUGACUUUGGGACGUGUGACUCACCCUUUGGACAUGGAAUUUACCCUUUUGGACAUGGAACUUACUUUUGGACAUGGAACUUACCUUUUGGACAUAUGACUUACCUUUUGGACAUAUGACUUGACUUUUGGACAUAAGACAGGCUGGACUUAUGACAUUUUGGAUGGGUAAAACAGUGGACUAAUGUUACUAACUAACUUAGUUACUCACUAACUCUGACUUCUAAAAGACGUUAAAUUCACUAGAUUAGAAUUAUAACGAAAGUUCUGGAAUAAGGUUUUAACUAUUGCGUAAUUCGAAUCGUUAGAUCGUUAUGGUCUUAGUACGUAGUAGUUGUUAGUGUUAUCAAGGACGUAACACUAAAGCUUUGUUUUAACGAUUUAGGUCCCAAUUUCAUAAGCGGCUCGUUCUAUUAAGUCAGCGAAAAUUCUCCGUUACAAGACUAGGUGAGCUGGUGCUGCUGCAUGACAUCAAGCAUAUGGGGGCUAGACUGUAGUUUGAAGUUAAUUUUGGUUUGAUCAUUAAUGAAUUUUAUAGAACAUUAUUACAUGGUUUGAGUUUGAAUAAAGAGGGGUCAUCUAUGAUUCCCGAGUUGUAAUUACAUUUUCUAUUCCGCUGCAAUUUGGUUUUGAGACAAUGAAUUUGAGUUACCGUAUUUCUAAUUA
Molecule: long non-coding RNA, 1117 nt
Organism: Beta vulgaris subsp. vulgaris (sugar beet)
Lineage: Eukaryota; Viridiplantae; Streptophyta; Magnoliopsida; Caryophyllales; Amaranthaceae
Exons: 2
Source: RefSeq, a predicted model, not a curated record